RNAcentral lists this non-coding RNA (29 nucleotides) under Rattus norvegicus (Norway rat). Lineage: Eukaryota; Metazoa; Chordata; Mammalia; Rodentia; Muridae. The record is from RNAcentral.
UUAUAUGAGAGACUACCACGAUUAUCCUU